UACGGGGGGGGCAAGCGUUGUUCGGAAUUACUGGGCGUAAAGGGCGCGUAGGCGGCUCUUCAAGUCAGCCGUGAAAUCUCCAGGCUUAACCUGGAAGGGUCGGUUGAUACUGUCGAGCUAGAGUGUGGAAGAGGCAACUGGAAUUCCGUGUGUAGCGGUGAAAUGCGUAGAUAUACGGAGGAACACCUGCGGCGAAGGCGGGUUGCUGGGCCAACACUGACGCUGAUGCGCGAAAGCUAGGGUAGCAAACGGG
This 253-nucleotide ribosomal RNA is filed under the name uncultured bacterium. RNAcentral describes it as "partial 16S ribosomal RNA". It matches the Rfam family "Bacterial small subunit ribosomal RNA", at positions 524 to 776 of the family's 1533-position model. The record is from RNAcentral.